GGGAGAGUGGUGGAACUGGUAUACACGAGGGACUUAAAAUCCCUUGGCUGAAAAGCCUUGAGGGUUCGAAUCCCUUCUCUCCCA
This 84-nucleotide transfer RNA is filed under the name Thermovirga lienii DSM 17291. It matches the Rfam family "tRNA". From Rfam's summary of the family: Transfer RNA (tRNA) molecules are approximately 80 nucleotides in length. Lineage: Bacteria; Thermotogati; Synergistota; Synergistia; Synergistales; Thermovirgaceae. The record is from Rfam by way of RNAcentral.